CUCCAGAAAAAGCAAGUUUGCAUCUUGAAGAUCGUUCUGAAUUAGUACAGCAGUAAUAAUGCAGAGAGUUUUAUUUGUCUAUUUAUGUGUUAUUAGCGCAUUUGUUUUUAUAGAAGCAAGGCCUAGGUGCAGAAACAACAGCUGUAAUCGUGGUGGAGGCCAAUAUGGUGAUACUCAAGAACAAUAUAAUAGCCAAUACGGAUACAAGAGCCAAUCAGGAUAUGGAGUAGACUCAUACAAUAAUGGUGGUGGACAAAGUGAAUAUAGUAGUGGAG
RNAcentral lists this unclassified non-coding RNA (275 nucleotides) under Melitaea cinxia (Glanville fritillary). RNAcentral's name for it is "misc RNA ENSMCXG00005004697.1". Lineage: Eukaryota; Metazoa; Arthropoda; Insecta; Lepidoptera; Nymphalidae. The record is from RNAcentral.